This is an RNA transcript of Toxotes jaculatrix (banded archerfish), 7558 nucleotides long. It is a transcript of the gene named nuclear receptor-binding protein-like, with no coding region annotated. The transcript has 17 exons. The record is from RefSeq and is a predicted model, not a curated record. Lineage: Eukaryota; Metazoa; Chordata; Actinopteri; Toxotidae.
GCCAGGAGAAAGGCAGCUUGAAACCUAUCUCAACAAAUUUUAUGACGAACUAGCAUUAAGUAAAAGGUGUAUAAUUUCACCGCCUUUCAUCAGUAUGUAACCCAGGGCUAUCUAUUCGGUGGUAGUUUUCUGUGCCACGUCUUUCCUCCUUGAGCUCAGCCUUGUUGAAAGCCAGGCCAGGGAAGAAGAUGGAUGUGUAACCAGCACUAACAGAGAGGGGGGAGAAGCAAAAAGAGGCUUCCUGUUACUCGUUGCAGCUGAGGACCAGGAGGCUAGUAAAGGAAAGCCAGCGUGAAAGUUGUGUCAUGAUGUUGGAGACACAGGGGAAAGAAGCUUCAGCUGCAGAGAGUAACAAGGCGGAGGUCACAGCAGGACACGUGUCCAGUAAUACUCAACAGGUACAAGGUGGAGCACCUGUGACCUCCGUACAACCUCCUGCCCCCGCAGCAACUGAGGAUGAGGAUGAGAGUGAAGACGAGUCAGAGAUCCUGGAAGAGAGUCCCUGUGGCCGCUGGCAGAAACGCAGAGAGGAGGUGAAUCAGCGUAAUGUCCCUGGAAUAGAUGCUGCUUAUUUGGCUAUGGACACAGAGGAAGGGGUGGAGGUGGUUUGGAAUGAAGUCAUGAUCUCAGAGAGGAAGAACUUCAAACUUCUGGAGGAGAAAGUGAAGGCUGUGUUUGACAACCUGAUCCAUUUGGAACAUGCAAAUAUUGUCAAGUUUCACAAGUACUGGGCUGACACAAAGGAGAACCGGGCCAGGGUGAUUUUUAUUACAGAAUAUAUGUCAUCGGGAAGCUUGAAGCAGUUUCUGAAGAAGACAAAGAAGAAUCACAAGAGCAUGAAUGAAAAGGCUUGGAAGAGAUGGUGCACACAGAUCCUGUCUGCUCUCAGUUAUCUCCACUCAUGUGACCCACCCAUCAUCCAUGGCAACCUGACCUGUGACACCAUCUUCAUUCAGCACAAUGGGCUCAUCAAGAUUGGAUCAGUUGCCCCAGACACCAUUAACAACCACGUGAAGACUUGUCACGAGGAACAGAAGAACAUGCACUUCUUUGCUCCAGAAUAUGGAGCUGUUGAUGAUGUUACCACGGCUGUAGACAUCUACUCAUUUGGCAUGUGUGCCUUAGAGAUGGCGCUCUUGGAGAUUCAGGGGAAUGGAGAGUCCUCUAAUGUUUCUCAGGAGGCCGUAAACAAUGCCAUACAGUUACUGGAGGACCCACUGCAGAGGGAGUUAAUUCAGAAGUGCCUCGAGUGUGAUCCCAAUACAAGGCCUACAGCCAGAGAGCUGCUGUUUAACCAGGCUCUGUUUGAAGUACCACUUCUAAAGCUGCUGGCUGCACAUUGUAUUGUCAGCCAUCAACACAUGAUCCCUGAAAAUGCCCUGGAGGAGAUCACCAAGAACCUGGACCCCAACCUGGUCAUCGCCGAAACAAAAGAGGAUGUACAGCUCAAGCUUUCGCAGUUUCCUGCUUUGGAGCUUGAUAAGUUCCUAGAAGAUGUGAGGAAUGGUAUUUAUCCAAUGACAGCAUUUGGGCUGCCCUGUCCUCAGCAGCCCCAACAGGAGACUGUUCAGUCUCCUGUUGUCAUCCCCUUGGUGAAAUCCCCCACCCCUGAACCUGCAGAGCUUGAGACACGACGGGUUGUUCAUAUGCAGUGUAAUGUUGAACCUGUUGAGGAGGGAGCAAAGUUUCAUCUAACAUUACUGCUGAAACUGGAGGAUAAACUGAAUAGACAUCUAAGCUGUGACAUGUUACCUCGUAAGAUCCAACUCUAUAUUGUCAAUUCUGUAUCACACACUGGCACAUACUUACUCAGUGAGCUUAGAACUACGGUCUUUGAUUUUGUUAUGGUGCCCUCACGUUUGGAAAUUUCCUCCCAGCUUUCUCGUUGUUAAUGUUUUAAAGGUCAGCAGAGUUCAAAGUCAAGUUUCAUUACGUCAAAAUUGAGCUGGGAGGUAAAUUUGGGAUUUGGGUGCAGUAUUUGGUACUAAAGCAAAAAUAAGGGAAUAUGUCUUCAAUUAACAAAGAAAGGCCUUUGAAAUUUCCAACAGCGAGCAUUUGAUGUCGUUGAAGGUGUGUCCUAUGUAGGUGAGACAUAACGUAAGAGGGUUAGUGGCCAUUCUUCCGGCCAUGUGCGCAAGUGUGGGUGUCACAAAUACAAGCACUUCUGCAUGUGUGUAAGAAACCAGUACCAAAAAGCAUUCAGUAUUUGCAUCAUGUGAUAGUUGAGGGAAUGGCAUGUGUUUGGGCAUGUGUGUUUUCCAUUCAUGUGAAAAUGUGUUUGAAUUUAACAGCCUCAGAGUCGAGAAGUUUUUAUAAAGUGUGAUAAUUUUGUUCAUCUGGUUGGUUUAAUUUUUAUAGCUUGGGUUUAGGGUUAAUGAUAGAAUUGCAUUUGACUAGAGGUAAUGUUAAAUGAUAAGGUGAUGCGGGAAUGAAUUACAGCAUAGUUAAGUACACUGUCCUCUCAGAUUUUACCACACUCAGUUUUAAUAGACAGUAUCUUUCUAUAUGUGUGGACUGAGGCUUGUAGGAAAGUGAGAGUGAGGUUCCAGAGACAGCUUGAAACUCCAAUGGCGUCACAAUAUACAGUAUGCUAGACUAUUUUAGGCAGGGAGACUCACUGUCGCUUACGUGUCAUGAAAACCUUGCACCUCUAUUUUGGAAAAAUGUAUUUUCAUUGCAUACUUGAAUUGUUUCGUAAUGGCUGUAGUGACUUUUUAUACCUUUAAAUCUGUUCUAAAUAUUUUCUUGGAAAACAAUAGUGAGUCAUCUUUACAGGUCCUGCUUUUUUUACUUAUUUGUUUACGAAUUAUACAGUAUUUUCAUCUCACUGCUUUUGCCACAGACAAGACCAAAGGAAGGCAAAAGAGAAAAUAACACACAACACAACUGUUGCACUGGUCAGAAUAAUGUAGGCAGUAUGAUCCAAUGUGCACAUGCACACACAGGUAUGGUUGGCAUGUAUACCGUUGGAGGCGUGUGGGGAAUGCCAGGCCUGUGAAAGGCUGCAGCUGACAGCUGUCACCUCCUGUGUCAAGAUCUGACCAUCUCUUCCCAGGCUUUCAUCUCCCUGUCUCUCAGUCACACGCACACACACUUACACUCUCACACACUUUCACUGGACUUCAUCUCUUCUGCUCUUUCUCUCUUCCACUGUUUCUCACACUGUAUUGCUUCUCUUGGAUACUAACACCCUAUUACCACUUGCACACAUACUGUAACUUCACAUCCACACACACCCACACACACUAGUCAGUCUCAUAGACGCACCCUUUCCUCUUUGUAAACAAUCCCUCCUUCUGAUAUCAGGGGAUAUUCUUUCUUAAGCUUUGCUUAUCAACAUGCCAAAGUCCAAAGUCACACCAUGCAGGGUCACCAGUUAACUGAGCCACUUAAAUUUCACCCCACUGGCCUUUUUGCAUGGUUCUCUUACAUCAUAUUUCAGUGCAUUCACAAUUGAUGCUUGUUUUUAUUCUCAAAACUAAAUAGUAACUUAUUUUGUUAUAUGAUUUUCUAUCAGACCACAAGAUGCAAAUCAGCAACGCAGCCUGUGCCUCCAGUGUCAGCUCCAGUAUCCAUCCUCUCGUCAUAUAAGCUGUGGGCUGCUCGUGUUGUUCUUUUAUGUCAAAGUUGUUAGAUGCUCCAUGUCUUCCUUUUGUUUGUCUUAUUCCCACCACAUUCCAUGUUCAGUUGUAAAUUGACAGCCAGGUUAUUAAAAAUCAGUCGACCCUGACAACUCCUCUGCUCACUUGGCUCAGGAAAAGAAUGUCCCAGUUUGGGGCGGUAACUAAAGUAAUAGUAAAAAAUGCUUUUGUUAGAUACAAUCCAUUUAUUACAAAAAUAGGUCAGGGAUUGAAAGGCGAGUUAUAUAAGGGUAUCUUUAAGUUUUUAGGGCAAAGUGGAGGUUAGAGUUCUAAAUCAGAAAUGUCUUCUGAAGGCAUUUUCCUGAUGUUUUAGUCAAGCAAAAUUCAGCAUCCUUCUGUUUGCAUAUUUUGAGCAACCUUAUGUAUAUUUUGUGCAGACUUCUGUUGAUACCCUUUGUAGUUCACUUGUAGUUCACUGUUUUGGUGUACUGACUUUCCUUUAACCUACCUAAAAUUUUCACCGAACAUAGUGAGUUCAUAUUCUUUAUAAUGUAAAACAUCUUAAAAUAAAUUCCCACCACAAAAGUCAGAACAAUAGCACAGCCAGAGGAGCAGGAAUUAUUUUAUAUAAUAGUUGUGCAGCUGCAUUGCAACAUGGAUUACUGAAAUCUUAAUCUUUGCCUUUUCUGAGAUAUAUUUGUUCCUGUACAAGUCUUACCUGGAAUUUACUGCAGAUUUUUAGGUCAAACAGUUAAAAACAAGUUGGAUGAGCUAGGGCUAAAUUCAGCUUUUGGGACAAAUACAAGGUUCAUGAGAACAUUGGAAAAAGGAUUAAAAUAUUAGCCCAGAAAGAAACUUAUGGACACUCUAAAGUAGAGGGAAGGACAAAGAUCCGUCCAUUUCAUAGUUAAGCCUUUAAUAGCAAGCCUAAAGAGAAAUAUUCAGACAGCUAACAUGUUUUAACAUAUCAUGCCCUAAUGAAGACCAUGCUGGUUGAAACAUGUCGGCUUUUUCAUUUUCCUUCCCGAAGAGACUUAUUCUGUAUUGGAUGUAACUGAAUGAAUGCUUCGCUAAAUGUUCACAGGAAUAUAAAAAUAGCACUAUGAAACAACAAAACGGGUUUACAUAUAUGGAGAACAACAGCAGUAGCUGCUGGUUGGUGUGUUUUUGUUUUCAUGUAUUAAAACAGGGAUUUGAAGCUAAAAGCAUCUGGACCAUAUUUUUUCUGAAUGUGGUAUUUACCUUAAGCCUGACAUUUAUUCAGGUGCAGGGCUGUGUGUUUGUGUUAGAGUAUUUGCAUAACUGAAAGGGAGAUAGUGAGCGACUGGUGUAGUUGAUGUGAAAGUGAUGUUACAUGUCUUUGAAUUACUGUUGCUAACUGUGCUGCUGUGUGUUUCAGAUGAGAGUGUUCAAGAGUUGGCUGAAGAGUUGGUACAGCUGGGCUUAAUCAGUGAGUUGGACCAAAACAAAAUAGCCCAUCUACUAGAAGAAACUUUCAGCCAAGCUCUUCACUAGCAAGGGUUUCCUCAACCACUUCUCCUCAUAAGUACAAUUUCUCCAACCCUGUUACACAUUUUGUUUUUGAUUACUCAACACAGUGACUGUUUUUUUGUUUUUCUUUUUCCCUGUAUUUUAUAUCAAGCCGUAGGCAGCAAUGUGACCAAUAGUGGUAGGUUUUCUCUUGGAAUCAGGGAUUAAAACUUCCUGAAAGCACACAAAACCUUUAGAACAGCCAGUUUUAAAGAAACCACAUGGAGUGAUUUCACAUUAUAUAGUUAUAUCCAUUGUAUUCUUUUGGAUGAGUUGGCUGUUAAGUGUAACUAAAAGGUAAACCUCAUUCAUGCUACAAGAGACACUUGAUCACAACAGUACUGACUGGAUUACUUGCAGCCUUACGAUGAGAUCCAGUUAUUCUCAAGCACACAGUUGUGUUUUAGUGUGAGGUGUUUACAUUUUGAAUUGCCUGGCCUGUUAGGGUUAGGGUUAACCCUAACCCUAACCCUCUGUGUCCUGGGAUGAGACCUUCUGAAACAUCAUCAAAGACUUAUUCAGCCCUUCACUGCAGUCAUACCACAUACUAACUCAUCUCUCUCAACUCUUGCAUUAAAUUUUAAUAGUUGCUCCUACACCUUUUGACCACCAACAAAACUAACUCAACCAGAGAAGGAGGGAUACAUUUCAACCUAAAGAAAAUUUUUACAAACUAAGCCAGCCUAUUUUGUUCAACCAUUCUCACUCCACACGGUUCCCCUUCUCCUUUGUCUCCUUUUUUUGUAUCACUUCAUGUGGCAGAACAUUCCCUGUUCUUUGACUUUUGUGAUGUGUUUGACCAAAAUAUCAACUGUCAGAUUAAAUAUAUUGUAUAGUUUGAAAACAGGUUUGCAAAUAUGGAACCUUCUCAGCUCAUUUUUAAAUCGAUAAAUACCCAUGGUUAAUAUUUUUGAUAAGCCUUUGAUACAGAAAACAAUGUGUGUGCAUUACUGGAUAUCACAUUUUGGCAGGGCAUCUUGCCAGAUCUCUCUGGAAGAUGGUUACUUUGAGGUACUGUGAACUCAGUGUUACUGAAUUUCCGUUAGUGUUUGUUUUUAUAUUUUUGCUCUACUGUUUGCCUUACUGUGGGCCUACGCACACGCCUUAAAUUCUGUUUUCUCUAUUUGUUUUUAUUAUUUUAUCAGUUGUUUUACCGUUUGCUGCUUGGCUCACAUGGGCUCACACACUCUACUCUGCCUUUCAAAUUCAUUCAUGUGAAACUUGUGUAGUGAACUCAGCUGCCAUAUUCUGUAGAAAGAGGACCUAGUGUUUCGUGAUACAUUUAUGUGAGUUUCGUAUGUUUUAUUUAUGUUACAGAUACUGUGUUUUACAGAUGUGUUUUUUCUUUGCUUCUUCCCCAUGUGUUUGCUGAGGUUUCACAUGGAGACCAUAUUGUUGAGCGUCUGAGCCAAAUACACAACUUCUCGUUUCUAUUGCCUUUGUUUUCAUUUGAUCACAGGCCAUUUGAUAAACGUGGGACCCAGUGGAUUGACAUUAGUCCUUCACAAUGUGCAGAGGCUCCUAAAUUUGAAUAAAACAUUUUACAUCAUACAGGUCUUGUUUAGACUUGUAUUGAGAUCAGGGAGUUGCCUGUGGCCUUAUUGUGACAUUUUGGUUCAGAACUCUUUGUGGACUACUGGUACUGCUGUGUCUGAAAGCUCACACAGUUCAACAGGCAGCAAGAAUGCAAUGACAAUAUAGCAUUCUCGUUAUGUAUAGAUUAAAGAAAGGCAACAAUUCAGAUAUCAUUGCACACAGUAACUUCCCUUGUGGUAUUUUAUUUAAAUUAUACUCAGACUGCCUUACAAACUCUCUGCCAGCUUAAAAGAAGACUACUGUAUGAGCUUUCAGACAGAGCUUUCCUUUAGUGCUGGUUGUUGAGACAUAAUGUUAAAAUUGUACACCUCACUAGUGAGAUCAGGUGAAUCCAAUGCUCUCCACUCAUGUUUUCCUUAAAUGUAUUUACGCAACUGUUACAUCCAAUCUGUAUUUUUUGCUGUACAUGACAUGUAGUCCAUCUUAAUGCAGUGUUUACAUUGUUUUCCUCUGUUUGUAUAUCUCUUUGUGAACUAAGACUGUAUAUCCCAAAGAUGUGUGCUUAAGUUAGCCAGUAGAAUGUAAACCACUCCUUGCAUAGAGAAGUGGUUAAAAACCAAACCAGUGUGAUCACCAGAUUUAUACCGACUCAGUCUUUCUAUGUCUCUUUUCUCCCAGUCCCUCCAGAUACUAUCCUUUCCACCCAAAUUACCGGUGGUGUUGAAACUGGUUAUUAAAUAAUCGUACGGGAUGGGCAGCUUUAGCUUGAUGUGAGCUUUUGGUUAUAUUUGGAUAUUCUUAUAUUUUGUACAUGACAUGAAUGUCAGUAAAUGUGUGUGCCUUUUCUGAGACGUGUGUCCUGACAAAAACUGUCAGUACGACUGGUCUUUCAAAUAAAUGUGUGAAGUGUU